GCCAGGACCCAUGAAUGAAACAAAGCUGAAAGCUCUGAACUGCAGCAGCUUUGAGGGGAAAAAAAGGAGGGAGGGAAAAAAAAAAAGAAAACAAAAAAAAAAAGAAAACAAAAGAGCAGGACUUCAGAAAAAACAUAUUCUGUUUUUUUGUUGUUGUUGUUUUUUUGAAGUCUUAUAUCACAAAAGCAACAUAUCCUGCCUACCUCUACCUCAACAUAUUUCUGGUAACAUGUUCUCUGCAGAAACCUUCAAAAGGAAAGUUUUUUGUUUUGUUUCUGAUGAAGUUGUGCACCAGGGCUAUCUUUUCAUUUUCAAAACAGACGUGAACUCAGGAGGGAUGAAUCCCUAGAAGUGUUGUUCAGUCCUGAGGUUUUGUUUCUGAUAUAUGGGAAGAAUAACCAUGAGAAGAUGCAAGUAGUAAAGUGUUGGGGAGAACCCAUGUGCCUUGGUCCCUAGCUCCUGCAAUAAUCAGUGCAAUUGUUUAUAAAACAGAACCAUAUUAUUGUAGGAAAACUGAUCUUUUCAGCAUUUUACCUUACAUGACAGGUACAGUCUGGUGGUUAUGAUAUGCAGUGCCUGCUGACAAACCAAGAAGCUGUUUUGAUGACCCGUUGUGCAAAGAAACCUGUCUGCAGGCCGUAUGUCUGUGUGAUUACAAAAGUGGAGCAUUUCUUAUCCCCAGUGUUAAGUGGAACCAGUCUGGCUGAGCUGAGUAGAAACGCAGUGACUAGUGCUGGGGCCGUUACUGGCUGUGUAUGGGGAGGCAUCCUCUGGAGAUGGAUCGGGCAGAACAAGCAAACCAUGACAUUCAGCCGUUACGUCUGCAAGCAGAUCUGCGGCUACUUCCUGCAGUUGUCCAUGGUGUUUCUCAUUGGUAAUUAUGGGGUUAAUAGACUCAAAGUGGAAGAGGAGACAAAGGCAGAGUGAAAAAAUCACCUGGCAAGUUUGGGUGAUGGUAAAUGAAGCACGUUACACUAAAGACAAUCUCUUCUCUGCUGCUCGAUUUUUCUUACACAGCAAAGAGUACACCUGGCUGUUCAGUACAAAACAACUUAAAUGAGCCUGUGAAAACUAUCAGUGCACAAGUUGGGCUAAAUCUCUUACAAAUAGAGGAAAAUACACCUGUGAUAUUGUCUCUGGAAAGAGAUUGCUAGCGGUUUUUGAGAUUUCCCCAAGUUCAGUCCCUGGUGAGUACACAGAUAUGAACAGUGUGCCUAUAAACAAGAUUUAAAGGUUUGCAUUGAAAUAAGAAACAUAGAGCUGAUGAAUGUCCUAACACACAUGUCGAGGUGUAUAACACAUCUGAUGCAACAAAUGUUUCAUACUUUCUUCAUAGCUUCUAGAGUCAAUUUAUUUUCAGAUCCG
This 1365-nucleotide long non-coding RNA is filed under the name Anser brachyrhynchus (Pink-footed goose). RNAcentral's name for it is "lncRNA (ENSABRG00000011183.1)". Lineage: Eukaryota; Metazoa; Chordata; Aves; Anseriformes; Anatidae. The record is from RNAcentral.